UCAUGAUUAUAUCUUGUCAAAUUCAUUGUGAUAGUUUCGUUUGACGUUCAUAGUUGAAACUCAUAUUUGUACUCUGUAGACUAGUACAACAUAUCUAAAUUUAUUUUGAUAUUGUAGUAAUGUGCAUGCUAAUAUUUUGGAGACUUUGUGUUGAUAUCUCGUUUCAGUUUAACAUGUACAUGUUAGAACCCAUUUGUUGUGUCGCAUGU
Molecule: long non-coding RNA, 209 nt
Filed under: Panax ginseng (ginseng)
Lineage: Eukaryota; Viridiplantae; Streptophyta; Magnoliopsida; Apiales; Araliaceae
Description: long non-coding RNA (PGIN_LNC018813)
Source: RNAcentral